Molecule: small nucleolar RNA, 138 nt
Filed under: Ornithorhynchus anatinus (platypus)
Lineage: Eukaryota; Metazoa; Chordata; Mammalia; Monotremata; Ornithorhynchidae
Source: RNAcentral
CCCCUCUCAGGGUAGCACCUCGAGAGUUUCCAGUAGUCUACCAGUCUCGGCUAUGGGAGGGAGAGUCAAGCAGAGGCCUGUCCAUUCCAUUCCUAGCUUGGGCAGUGGCUAGUGAGUGGAAGACAAUCUGCUACAAGU